RNAcentral lists this ribosomal RNA (254 nucleotides) under uncultured bacterium. RNAcentral's name for it is "partial 16S ribosomal RNA". It matches the Rfam family "Bacterial small subunit ribosomal RNA", at positions 793 to 1055 of the family's 1533-position model. The record is from RNAcentral.
GUCCACGCCGUAAACGAUGGAUACUAGCUGUUGGGGCAACUUCAGUGGCUAAGCGAAAGUGAUAAGUAUCCCACCUGGGGAGUACGUUCGCAAGAAUGAAACUCAAAGGAAUUGACGGGGGCCCGCACAAGCGGUGGAGCAUGUGGUUUAAUUCGAUGAUACGCGAGGAACCUUACCAAGGCUUAAAUGUAGAUUGACCGAUUUGGAAACAGAUCUUUCGCAAGACAAUUUACAAGGUGCUGCAUGGUUGUAGU